Molecule: ribosomal RNA, 301 nt
Filed under: uncultured bacterium
Lineage: Bacteria
Description: partial 16S ribosomal RNA
Rfam family: Bacterial small subunit ribosomal RNA
Source: RNAcentral
CAGUCGCCGCGGUAAUACGAAGGGUGCAAGCGUUAAUCGGAAUUACUGGGCGUAAAGCGUGCGUAGGCGGUGAGUUAAGUCUGCUGUGAAAUCCCCGGGCUCAACCUGGGAAUGGCAGUGGAUACUGGCUCGCUAGAGUGUGUCAGAGGAUGGUGGAAUUCCCGGUGUAGCGGAGAAAUGCGUAGAGAUCGGGAGGAACAUCAGUGGCGAAGGCGGCCAUCUGGGACAACACUGACGCUGAGGCACGAAAGCGUGGGGAGCAAACAGGAUUAGAUACCCGUGUAGUCCCUGUCUCUUAUAC